This 463-nucleotide ribosomal RNA is filed under the name Vreelandella stevensii. RNAcentral's name for it is "partial 16S ribosomal RNA". It matches the Rfam family "Bacterial small subunit ribosomal RNA", at positions 338 to 792 of the family's 1533-position model. The record is from RNAcentral. Lineage: Bacteria; Pseudomonadati; Pseudomonadota; Gammaproteobacteria; Oceanospirillales; Halomonadaceae.
CCUACGGGUGGCAGCAGUGGGGAAUAUUGGACAAUGGGCGAAAGCCUGAUCCAGCCAUGCCGCGUGUGUGAAGAAGGCCUUCGGGUUGUAAAGCACUUUCAGUGGGGAAGAAAGCCUUGGGGCUAAUACCCUCGAGGAAGGACAUCACCCACAGAAGAAGCACCGGCUAACUCCGUGCCAGCAGCCGCGGUAAUACGGAGGGUGCGAGCGUUAAUCGGAAUUACUGGGCGUAAAGCGCGCGUAGGCGGUCUGAUAAGCCGGUUGUGAAAGCCCCGGGCUCAACCUGGGAACGGCAUCCGGAACUGUCAGGCUAGAGUGCAGGAGAGGAAGGUAGAAUUCCCGGUGUAGCGGUGAAAUGCGUAGAGAUCGGGAGGAAUACCAGUGGCGAAGGCGGCCUUCUGGACUGACACUGACGCUGAGGUGCGAAAGCGUGGGUAGCAAACAGGAUUAGAUACCCUAGAUC